This 388-nucleotide ribosomal RNA is filed under the name Lygosoma quadrupes. RNAcentral describes it as "partial 12S rRNA". It matches the Rfam family "Bacterial small subunit ribosomal RNA", at positions 794 to 1384 of the family's 1533-position model. RNAcentral also lists the same sequence under 1 other name. Lineage: Eukaryota; Metazoa; Chordata; Lepidosauria; Squamata; Scincidae. The record is from RNAcentral.
GCCUAACCCUAAACAUAGAUAAUAACCUACAAUAUUAUCCGCCAGAGAACUACGAACGAAAAGUUUAAAACUCUAAGGAUUUGGCGGUACCCUAUACCGGCCUAGAGGAGCCUGUCCUAUAAUCGAUACUCCACGCUUUACCCCACCACCCCUAGCAAAUAAACCAGCCUAUAUACCGCCGUCGUCAGCCUACCUUGUGAAAGAAACACAGUAAGCACAAUAGUUAACAACUAACACGUCAGGUCAAGGUGUAGCACACGGGGCGGAAGAGAUGGGCUACAUUUUCUAUAUCAGAAAACACGAACAGCACAGUGAAACCUGUUCUCAAAGGCGGAUUUAGCAGUAAGGUUAAAAAGAGUUUUUGCCUUAAGCCCGCUCUAGGGUGCGC